Molecule: long non-coding RNA, 767 nt
Organism: Gopherus evgoodei (Goodes thornscrub tortoise)
Lineage: Eukaryota; Metazoa; Chordata; Testudines; Testudinidae
Exons: 3
Source: RefSeq, a predicted model, not a curated record
CAGUUUAUUUGUGGUUAUAAUUGUUUUCUUUGAGAAAUUCUUUGAGACCUAUUUUAUUCUAUAUAUUAUUAAAGUGAUCAUGCUGUGAAAUAAUCUGACACCCUAAAGACAUUCCAGAAAGCAACAUUCUGUAACAUCAUUAUUAACUGAAGUCCGAUGGAACUCAUGGUAUCAAUAAUGUCACAGAAUGAUGCAUUCUGGGUUGCUGCCAGUGAACUCGCAGGUCUCAGAUGAUUUCAUUUCAUAGAUAAAAGGAAAAGAAUUUUUAAAAUGGUAAAUUGACGCUUAUUUCUCUGCUGAAUGCCUCUUCCUUUCAGAGCCAAGUUAGUGGGCACAUUUUAUCACAUAUUUCAGGGUUUAACAUACCUCUCAAUUUGCGAAGGCCAAAAUAUGGGACAUAGUGUGUGGCAAAGACCCCAAAUAAGAGAUGUACAAAUACUAUUUGGGCAGGAAAUAUAAAAUGCUUUGAACUGACUCCUUUGUUGCAAAUAGCUCUUUCUGUAACCUCUGUUGUAUCCUUCUUUUGUUUCUGAUCAGAGUCAUUUGCUGCAAUAAAAGGGAGAGGGCACUAGAUUUUGAUAGAAUGUCACCUUAACGGGCAUGUUCCAACAUUUCAUCAGCAAGAAAUUCUGGACUGGGCCCUAAAUGCCUACAUUGAAUUAAGCAACAACAAACAAUAGGAGAACUCAAGUAACAUUGCAGUCUUGGUCAAAGUUGAACCGAGCUGCAAAGCACUGGAGCGGAAACUUGGCUCGCAAUAUUUUAAG